This 63-nucleotide transfer RNA is filed under the name Deronectes doriae. RNAcentral's name for it is "tRNA-Arg". Lineage: Eukaryota; Metazoa; Arthropoda; Insecta; Coleoptera; Dytiscidae. The record is from RNAcentral.
AAAUAAGAAGUAAAAAUUACAUUUAGUUUCGACCUAAAAUUUGGUGACAAUCGCCCUUAUUUA